Prosopis cineraria is the source of this 546-nucleotide long non-coding RNA. RefSeq lists it as uncharacterized. The transcript has 3 exons. NCBI's taxonomy places the organism in Eukaryota, Viridiplantae, Streptophyta, Magnoliopsida, Fabales, Fabaceae. The record is from RefSeq and is a predicted model, not a curated record.
GGGUUACUCCCUCCCCUGUGUUGUCCAUGCGAGAGAGUUUGUGGUUGGCGCAUGUGUUUUUGGGUCAAUGUCUGCGUGGAUGGUGAUGGAUCAUCCCUUCGACUUGCAAUUUGAUGGCACAUCACUCAGAUCUGGCUUUCCUAAGUUGCAAUGGAGUCUGGCAAAGCAUACAAUGGUGAAGCGAAAGAGGAUAAAAAUUUCAUUCAACAUUAUGGCCAUUGUUUACUAUACCUAUCCUAUCAACGAUAUACCAAAGGUUUAUUGAGACUGAUCCAUGGGUUCCUAAUGAACCAACCAGAAAACAUUAACCACCUCUGUUACUAGGACACAUGGAGUUCUGACUAGGAAACAAAGUCCUAUUCCUUCAUCUGUGAUUUCAAGCUAGACCAUGUGUCUAGGGUGUUUGCGACAGCUAGUCAUGCAGUCAUGACUGACACUAUAUUUAUGGUCUACUACAAACUCGCAAAUCUAUGGGGUUUUUUUGUUAAUUCAAAAAAAAAAAAAAAAUUGAUUGCAGGUAGUGCAUUAAUUUGUAUUCCAAAGACA